Molecule: ribosomal RNA, 486 nt
Filed under: uncultured bacterium
Lineage: Bacteria
Description: partial 16S ribosomal RNA
Rfam family: Bacterial small subunit ribosomal RNA
Source: RNAcentral
AUUGAACGCUGGCGGCAUGCCUUACACAUGCAAGUCGAACGGCAGCACGGGUGCUUGCACCUGGUGGCGAGUGGCGAACGGGUGAGUAAUACAUCGGAACAUGUCCUGUAGUGGGGGAUAGCCCGGCGAAAGCCGGAUUAAUACCGCAUACGAUCUACGGAUGAAAGCGGGGGACCUUCGGGCCUCGCGCUGUAGGGUUGGCCGAUGGCUGAUUAGCUAGUUGGUGGGGUAAAGGCCUACCAAGGCGACGAUCAGUAGCUGGUCGGAGAGGACGACCAGCCACACUGGGACUGAGACACGGCCCAGACUCCUACGGGAGGCAGCAGUGGGGAAUGUUGGACAAUGGGCGAAAGCCUGAUCCAGCAAUGCCGCGUGUGUGAAGAAGGCCUUCGGGUUGUAAAGCACUUUUGUCCGGAAAGAAAUCCUUGGCCCUAAUACGGUCGGGGGAUGACGGUACCGGAAGAAUAAGCACCGGCUAACUACGUG